Molecule: long non-coding RNA, 698 nt
Organism: Mytilus californianus (California mussel)
Lineage: Eukaryota; Metazoa; Mollusca; Bivalvia; Mytilida; Mytilidae
Exons: 3
Source: RefSeq, a predicted model, not a curated record
AUAAACAGAGAAAACUUUGACGAAUUUGAACAUUAGCUCUAUUUGGUAGCAAAGAGAACACAACAAUUUCCCGCGAAGAUGUCAUUGACAGUAAAAGCCUAUUUGGUAAAGAAAGGAGAGAAACAGAGAGAAAUACGGAGAUUUUCUGUGCCUGCUGAUGUUUCGAUCAGUUUCAGUUAUCUUCAGGAGAAAGUUUUAGAAACUUAUCCUAAUUUAAAACAAGGAAGUUUUAAUCUGUUUUGGACAGAUCCUGAGGGUGAUCAAAUAUCAUUUUCCACAGAUAAAGAACUAACAGAGGCUCUGGGUUUCAUAGAAGAUGGAAUUUUUAAGAUAAAAAUCAAAGAAACAAAAAGAGAAGACUGCGAGCAGGAGAAAUAGUUACUCCGCAAAUUAAUACGAUUGGCUGACUACAAGAGGAAAUUUCCUCAUGGCGGAAAAGCGGAAGAAACAAAAUUGUAAAAAGGCUCUUGGAGAUACCCCCUCCCCACAAAAAACUAAUGAUGGAUGCUGAUGGAUGUCUUAUCUAUGUAAAUAAGCGGUGUUCCAGUUUAAUAUCAACUGAAAUAGAGAUUUUAUUUAAAGUCGGUGAUACAUAUAGAUGACAAGUAUCAAUAAUGUAACAUAAGCUCUGUAGACAUAAUAAACUCAAGUUGAAAGUUUUUCAGUAUUAUUUAUUGAAUGCGUCUUCCUGAAAAGGC